GACGAACGCUGGCGGCAUGCUUAACACAUGCAAGUCGAACGAAACCUCCGUGUCUUUGUGGGCAGCUCUACGUGCCACCUGGUGACUUACCCUUAGGUUCGCUAUCCCUCCCUUUGGGAUAUCUUCAUACCGCUUAGUCUCAUACCGCAUAGGAUUUCUUGCCUCUUGGUGGGGGUUGGAUAGUUUCGGGGGUUGGUGAUGUACUCGCGGCUUAUCGGCUGGAUGGUGGGGUAGUGGCUGAGCAAGGCCUUGAAGGGUAGCCGGCCUGAGAGGGUGACCGGCCACAUUGGGACUGAGAUACGGCCCAGACUCAUACGGGAGGCAGCAGUGGGGAAUAUUGCACAAUGGGCGGAAGCCUGAUGCAGCAACGCCGCGUGCGGGAUGACGGCCUUCGGGUUGUAAACCGCUUUCGCCUGUGACGAAGCGUGAGUGACGGUAAUGGGUAAAGAAGCACCGGCUAACUACGUG
RNAcentral lists this ribosomal RNA (468 nucleotides) under uncultured bacterium. RNAcentral describes it as "partial 16S ribosomal RNA". It matches the Rfam family "Bacterial small subunit ribosomal RNA", at positions 28 to 507 of the family's 1533-position model. The record is from RNAcentral.